AAGCCCCGGGGCCGAUUGGGGCCCGUUUUCAAACUUGCAUUUUGACGUGUCACACCGCGGGGCU
Molecule: transfer RNA, 64 nt
Filed under: Enyalioides laticeps
Lineage: Eukaryota; Metazoa; Chordata; Lepidosauria; Squamata; Hoplocercidae
Description: tRNA-Cys
Source: RNAcentral